This 27-nucleotide non-coding RNA is filed under the name Rattus norvegicus (Norway rat). Lineage: Eukaryota; Metazoa; Chordata; Mammalia; Rodentia; Muridae. The record is from RNAcentral.
UUUGAUAUGUUAAUAGGCACCCCAGCA